This is a long non-coding RNA of Pangasianodon hypophthalmus (striped catfish), 1406 nucleotides long. RefSeq lists it as uncharacterized. The transcript has 3 exons. NCBI's taxonomy places the organism in Eukaryota, Metazoa, Chordata, Actinopteri, Siluriformes, Pangasiidae. The record is from RefSeq and is a predicted model, not a curated record.
UCUCUCAGUGUACGCAGUUUAGAGCAACGUACUUGCAGUUUCUUUCGGAGGUUGAUUUAAGCGUUGAAACCUUGGAAAUAUAUGUCCAUUUACAAAAAAAAAAGAUCAUUAAAAGAAUAAUCACCAGUAAAGUCACUAAAGUUACCAAGACUGCUUUCUGGAGGUCUUUUCUGGAGCAGGCUAUCUGUUAAGCCUUUGCUCAAGCAACGCAAUUGGACUGGGAAGAAAUGCACUCAUGAGGAAGUUAUCUAGCAGGAUUUAACAGUGAAACCUUGUAAUUCACUUUAUAAGUAGCUUUUGAUUGUGUGAAUCACUGCCACUGCUGUAAUGUUAAUUUCCUGUGUUGUGUUUUGGACAUUUUCAGUGUUAUGUUAGUCCUGUACAUCAGUGUACCAGUGUGUAGACAUGCAGUAAGAGUAAUAACAUUUCUGUUUGAUUCCUCAUUUACUCCUGAACUUUACUGCACUGAGAUCCUCUACUUACACUGAAUAAUACUGCAGGAUCGAGUUUCUGCUUUUAAGAGAACACUUUAUUAAUCCCAUGUGGGAAAUUCCAGUGUUACAGCAGGAGAUAAGAGACAAUGAAUAGACAACAAUAUAGCAGCAGAAGGGGGUUUAAAACAUAAAUUAAAAGCAGAAAUAAAGUAAACAUUGUCUUGGUUAAUUUUUUUAUUAUUAUUUUGGUUCAGUAAAUGUUUUAGCUCCAGUACAUCAUUGUAUAAAAAUACAAAAUGGUAAAAAUGCUGACAUUGACAAAGGAACAAGAGAUUUCUCAGUGUAUUACUUGUACUUCAUAUGAUACAUUAUUGCUACCAGGUGAAAUAAUUCAGUGAACUGAUAAUGAUGCAUUUAUUUAAUUGAUCAGAAACAUUUCAUCCACAAAUCUCCUCACACAACUACAAUUAAAGUUCACACAGCUGAAAAUUCAAACAAAACUAUCAACAGUGUCUAACGGAGAUUGGAAGUCUACUCCUCGUAAUUCAACUAGAGCUAAUCUAACACAGAAAUAGAAGAAAACACAGCAGUACAAAUACAGUAGUGGUAGAACUAAUACUGAGAAGACACAAAACACAAUAUUAGUUCCCACCAUAUUUCAGAUAACAGUCAAUAAACUUGUUUUUAUAUUGCAUACAUACAAAGCCUCACUUACUUUAACUCCAGUAACACUGGGCUUUUCACCAAACACUCUGACUGUAGUCAUCUAUACAGAAAAUACAACCUACACUGGAAAAUAUUACACUGCCCAUUUUCAUUCUGAAAUAAUGCAGUUUAUACCAUAUACCAGUGCUUCUCAAACUUUUUUGGUCCUGCCCCCUUUAAACCCCUCCAAUUACUUUCACUAAAAGUCAUGAAAAUUGAAUAAUUUUUUAACUGAAAUUACAAAUUUAAAAAUUUUUGAAAUUACAG